Molecule: ribosomal RNA, 497 nt
Filed under: uncultured bacterium
Lineage: Bacteria
Description: partial 16S ribosomal RNA
Rfam family: Bacterial small subunit ribosomal RNA
Source: RNAcentral
GAUGAACGCUGGCGGCGUGCCUAAUACAUGCAAGUCGAGCGAACGGACGAGGAGCUUGCUUGUCUGAUGUUAGCGGCGGACGGGUGAGUAACACGUGUAUAACCUACCUAUAAGACUGGGAUAACUUCGGGAAACCGGAGCUAAUAGCGGAUAAUAUUUUGAACCGCAUGGUUCAAAGGUGAAAGACGGUCUUGCUGUCACUUAUAGAUGGAUCCGCGCUGCAUUAGAUAGUUGGUGAGGUACCGGCUUACCAAGGCAACGAUGCAUAGCCGACAUGAGAGGGGGAUUGGCCACACGGGAACGUGGACACGGUCCAGACUCCUACGGGAGGCAGCAGUAGGGAAUCUUACGCAACGGGCGAGAGCCUGACGGAGCAGCGCCGCGUGAGUGAUGAAGGUCUCCGGAUCGGAAAACUCUGUUACUAGGUAAGAACAUAUUUGUAAUUAACUGUGCACAUCUUGACGGUACCUAAUCAGAAAGCCACGGCUAACUACGUG